This 251-nucleotide ribosomal RNA is filed under the name uncultured bacterium. RNAcentral's name for it is "partial 16S ribosomal RNA". It matches the Rfam family "Bacterial small subunit ribosomal RNA", at positions 524 to 776 of the family's 1533-position model. The record is from RNAcentral.
UACGUAGGUGGCAAGCGUUAUCCGGAAUUAUUGGGCGUAAAGCGCGCGCAGGCGGUUUCUUAAGUCUGAUGUGAAAGCCCACGGCUCAACCGUGGAGGGUCAUUGGAAACUGGGGAACUUGAGUGCAGAAGAGAAAAGCGGAAUUCCACGUGUAGCGGUGAAAUGCGUAGAGAUGUGGAGGAACACCAGUGGCGAAGGCGGCUUUUUGGUCUGUAACUGACGCUGAGGCGCGAAAGCGUGGGAGCAACAGG